UGAACGCUGGCGGCGUGCCUAACACAUGCAAGUCGAACGGUAAGGCCCCUUCGGGGGUACACGAGUGGCGAACGGGUGAGUAACGCGUGGGUAACCUACCCAGAGGUGGGGGAUAGCUCCGGGAAACCGGAGGUAAUACCGCAUACGUUCCAGACAACGCGAGUUGACUGGAGGAAAGGCGGGGAUCUUCGGACCCGUCGCUUCUGGAUGGGCCCGCGUCCGAUUAGCUUGUUGGUGAGGUAAUGGCUCACCAAGGCUGCGAUCGGUAGCCGGCCUGAGAGGGUGAUCGGCCACAUUGGGACUGAGACACGGCCCAGACUCCUACGGGAGGCAGCAGUGGGGAAUUUUGGGCAAUGGGGGAAACCCUGACCCAGCGACGCCGCGUGGGGGAUGACGGUCUUCGGAUUGUAAACCCCUGUCAGGUGGGAAGAAGAGCUUGUCGGUUAAUACCCGGCAGGAAUUGACGGUACCACCAAAGGAAGCCCCGGCUAACUCC
RNAcentral lists this ribosomal RNA (496 nucleotides) under uncultured bacterium. RNAcentral's name for it is "bacterial SSU rRNA". It matches the Rfam family "Bacterial small subunit ribosomal RNA", at positions 30 to 504 of the family's 1533-position model. The record is from RNAcentral.